This 3131-nucleotide long non-coding RNA is filed under the name Homo sapiens (human). RNAcentral describes it as "HSALNT0197969". Lineage: Eukaryota; Metazoa; Chordata; Mammalia; Primates; Hominidae. The record is from RNAcentral.
GGGAGAGUCGACCAGGUUAAUACAAGGUAGGGUAUCACAAAAGGGUUGGUUAGGGUGGGGAGGAGUAGGCUGGCAGUAGAAUGGUGGGAGAGUUGGGGGUAGUAGGAAGGGGGAGUAGCCUGCUGCAGAGGCAAAGCCUCAUGGAAAACCUCUACUAGGGCAGUGCACCUGUGGCUUUGCAGGGUUGAGCCCCUGCAGCUGCUUUCAUGGGCUGGGUUGGUGUUGAGGUUUGCAAAAGCCUGUAGCUUUUGCACAGAGGGUGUGAGCUGCUGGUGGGUCUGUGAAUCUGGGGUCUGGAGGGUGGUGGUCAUCUCCGUGGGGGCUCCAAGCCCAUAUUUUCCUUCCACACUGCCCUAGUAGAGGUUUUCCAAGAGGCUCUGCCUGUACAGCAGGCUUCUGUUUGGAAACAGUGGGAGUUGGGGGUGGGUGUUUGUUCCUUCAUCAAUGUUUAAGCACCACCUUCAUGAUGCUGACCUUGUAAUAGUGAGUUCACAUAAGAUUUGGUUGUAUAAUAGGGUGUGGCUCUCUUUCCUCUCUGUCUUGUGCCUACUCCUGCCACAUGAAUCAUCUCAUUGCCCCUUGACAUUCUGGUAUGAUUGGGAGGCUUCCUGAGUCCUCCCAGAUUCAGAAACCACUGUGUUUCCUUACAGCCUGCAGAAUCAUGAGCCAAUUAAACCUCUUUUCUUUAUGAUCAUAGAGAAAAUUAGUAGUGCAAAGUGGAACUAUUAAAUGUCAUUGUCUUGGCAAUCAUCACUCAGCUUCUUUUCAUUCAAGUAUGUGAAGGCUUCAUGAAUUUUCCCCCUGAAAAUGGACUUGUCUUCCUUUACCACAUUGCCAGGCUGUGGCAAAGAUAGUGAUAAUGUAGAUGCAGGUUCAGAAGGGAGUAGCGGACAGAGGUCAGAAGAGUUUGGAGGGCUUCAAAGACAAGAAGAUGAAAGAAAGUUUGGAUCUUUGUAAAGAAUUGUUAAACACUUGUGAUCAGAAGGCUCACAGGAAAAUGGUCAGUGAAAGCCCGACUUAGAAGGUCUCAGAUGAAAAUGAAGCACUUACUGGGAACGGAAGUCAAAGUUACUUUUGUUUCCUUAGCAAAGAACGUGUCUGAACAGUGACCUUGCCCUGGAGAUCUGUGAAACUUUGAACUUGAGGGUGAUGAUUUACUGAGUAUCUGAUGGAAUGAUCUGAGCAGCAAAGCUCAAGAGGUGUCCUGUCUCCAUCGAGCAGCCUGUGCUCUUAUGUGUGAUGGAGGAAAUGACCUCUGGAUGGGACUUACAUUAAAUGAGUCCGAACUCUUAUAGUAAAUGAGAAACAGAACUCAAAAGUUUGGAAAAUUUGCAGCCUGGCCAUGUGGUCAAAAAGAAAAGCUGAUUUUCAGGGGGAAAAUUGAAGAAGGCUUCAGAAACUUGCAUGAAAAGGAGCCCAGUGCUAAUAUACAAGAGAAUAGGGAAAAAGCCUUGAAGGCAUUUCAGAGACCUUUGCAGCAGCCCUUGCUGUUACAGGCCCUGGGGCCUAGGAGAGAAGAAUGGUUUCCUGGGCCAGUUCCAUGACCCCCCUCUGUGUGCAGCCUCAGGACACUGCUGCCUGCAUCCCUGUGGCUCCAGCUCCAGGUCCAUCUCCAGCCAUGAUUGAAAGAUGCGCAGGUACAGCUUGGGUCACUGCUAUAGAGGGUGCCGGCUAGAAGCCUUGGUAAGUUCCUCAUAGUGUUAAGCCACUGGUGGACGGAGCAUGAGACUAGAGGCUUGGGAACCUCUCUAUAGAUUUUGGAAGAUGUAUGGAAAUGCCUGGGUGUCCAGGCAAAAACAUCCCAAAAAGGCAGAGCCUUAUAUGAAACUUCUACUAGGGCAGUGCAGAAGGAAAGUAUGGGGUUGGAGCCCCCACACUGGAGGCCACCAUCAUGCAGACCCCAGAUUCAUAGACCCCCCAGCAACUUGUGUUCUUAGUGGGGAAUAGUCACAGGCACUCAACACCAGCCAAGCCCAUGAGGGCAGCCAUGGGGCAUAAACCCUGCAAAGACACAGGUGCCAAGCUGCCCAAGGCCUUGGGAGCACAGCCCUCACACCCCUGUGCCCUGGAUGUGGGACAGGGUUUCAAAAAGGUUGAUUUUGGAGCUGUAGGAUGGAAUGACUGGCCUUCUGGGUUUAGAGUUUCAUGGGGCCGGUAAGUCCUAUCUGUGUUUUGUUUUUUUCCGGCAACAUUCUUCCUUUUGGCUGGGAAUGCUUACCCAAUGCCUGUACAAGCAUUGUACCUUGGAAGUAGUUAACUUGCUUUAUAUUUCAGAGGCUCAUGGGCCUAAGAAACUGUAGCCUUGUGUCAGAUGAGACUUUAAGCUUUGAACAUUUGUAUAAAUGCUGUAAUGAUAUAAGAUUUUGGGGGACUGUAGGGAAGGCAUCAUUGUAUUUUGCAAUGUGAGAAGGACAUGAGAUUUGGGGAGCCAAGGACAGAAUAAUAAAAUUCAGCUCUGUGUCUCUACCAAAACUCAUGUGGAAUUGUAAUCGGAAUGUUAAAGGUGGGGCCUGGUGGAAGGUGAUUUAAUCACGGUGGAGAGUGGGUGUUGGAAGAUGGGGCAUAGGGAGAAUGGGGGAUUUAUGGUGCAGGUGAGGAGUGAAAAUUGGGGGUGGGGGGCGGAUCCUUCACAAAUGAGUAAACACUCUCCUUAUUGCUGUCCUUGUGAUAGUGAGUUCUCUUCAUGACUUUGGAGCUGUAAGAUUGAAUGGAUACUGGCCUUCUGGGUUUUGGACUUGUAUUGGGCCUGUGGUCCCAUUUGUGUUUCCUUCCUGGGAAAUUUCUUCCCUUUGGAUUGAAAAAGCUUACCCAAAGCCAGUACCAUUAUUGUACCUUGAAAGAAAAGAACAUCCUUUUAAAUUCAGGGACUUAUAUGCAAAAGGUACUGUAGACUUGUCUCAGAUGAGAUGUUGAUUUUUUUUACAUUUGAGUUAAUGUUGGAAUGAGUUAAGACUUUUGGAAACUUUUGAAAAGGCAUGAAUAUAUUUUGCUCUGUGAGAAGGACAUGAGACUGUGGGGAUCAGGGUCAGAAUAAUAUGAUUUGGUUGUGUUUCUUUACCAAAACUCAUGUGAAUUGUAAUCCUUAAUGUUGGAAGUGGGGCUUGGCUGGAGGUGAUUUAAUCAUGGAUGGG